RNAcentral lists this ribosomal RNA (2291 nucleotides) under human gut metagenome. RNAcentral describes it as "bacterial LSU rRNA". It matches the Rfam family "Bacterial large subunit ribosomal RNA", at positions 14 to 2300 of the family's 2925-position model. The record is from RNAcentral.
AGAGCAUACGGUGGAUGCCUUGGCGAUAUCUGCCGACGAAGGACGUGACAAGCUGCGAAAAGCUGCGGAGAGAUGCAAAUAAUCGGCGACCCGCAGACAUCCGAAUGGAGAAAUCCGGCUGUGAUGAUGCACAGCCAUCCAUGCCCAAGAGCAUGAGAAGGGAACCGGGCGAACUGAAACAUCUAAGUAGCCCGAGGAAAAGAAAUCAAACGAGAUACCCCAAGUAGCGGCGAGCGAACAGGGAAGAAGCCCAAACCGGUGAAGGAAACUUUACCGGGGUUGAGGACCAUCAGACCCGCGAAGAACCUUAGCCGAAACUGUUGGGAAACAGUGCCGAAGACAGUGAAAGCCUGGUAGGCGAAAAAGAGAAACGCGGAGAUGGCACCAGAGUACCGCGGGACACGAGAAAUCCCGUGGGAAGCAGGGGGGACCACCCUCCAAGGCAAAACACAGAUAUCGACCGAUAGCGCAUAGUACCAUGAGGGAAAGGUGAAAAGCACCCCGGGAGGGGAAUGAAAGAGAACCUGAAACCGUAUGUUUACAAGCAGUCGGAGACCGCUUAAUAAUAAGGUCGACGGCGUGCCUAUUGAAGAAUGAACCGGCGAGUUACGAAGCCUGGCAAGGUUAAGCAGGAAAUGCGGAGCCGAAGCGAAAGCGAGUCUUAAGAGGGCGCAAGUCAGGAAGCGUAGACCCGAAACCACAGUGAUCUACCCAUGUCCAGGUUGAAACACAGGUAAAAAUGUGUGGAGGACCGAACCUAUAUCCGUUGAAAAGGGUUAGGAUGAGGUGUGGGUAGGGGUGAAAUUCCAAUCGAACGUGGAGAUAGCUGGUUCUCCCCGAAAUAGCUUUAGGGCUAGCCUCAGGGAAAAGAUUGCAGGCGGUAGAGCACUGAUCAGGAGAGGGACCUACCCGGUUACCAAACCCAGUCAAACUCCGAAUGGCUGCAAUCAUACCUGGGAGUCAGACUGCGACUAAUAAGGGCCGCAGUCAAAAGGGAAACAGCCCAGACCAUCAGCUAAGGUCCCCAAUGCCGUGCUAAGUGGCGAAGGAUGUGGCAUUUCAUAAACAACCAGGAUGUUGGCUCAGAAGCAGCCACCAUUUAAAGAGUGCGUAAUAGCUCACUGGUCGAGAGACGCUGCGCCGAAAAUGUCCGGGGCUCAAGCACGGAACCGAAGCUAUGGCAUGAUAGCAAUAUCAUGGGUAGGGGAGCGUUCUUAUAAGGAAGAAGCAUGACCGGAAGGACAUGUGGACAAAUAAGAAGUGAGAAUGCCGGUAUGAGUAUCGAAAAGAAAGGUGAGAAUCCUUUCCACCGAAAGCCCGAGGGUUCCUGAGCAACGAUCGUCGACUCAGGGUAAGUCGGGACCUAAGCCGAGGCGAGAAGCGUAGGCGAUGGACAACAGGUUGAAAUUCCUGUACCGGAUCAAGUCGAUCGAGCGAAGGAGCGACGCAGGAGGGCACAUGAUCGCGCGGCUGGAAGAGCGCGUCCAAGUGCGUAUGUUGCAGCAGAGGAAAACCCCUGCAGCUAAAAGCAGAGACAUGAUGGGGAGUUAAAGGAAACUUUGACGAACUCAUGAAUCCCACACUGCCAAGAAAAACUUCUAGCGAGACAAGAUCCGCCCGUACCGUAAACCGACACAGGUAGGCGGGGAGAGAAUCCUAAGGUGCGCGGGAAAACCCUCGUUAAGGAACUCGGCAAAUUGCAUCCGUAACCUAGGGAGAAGGAUGGCCCCCGGUCAGUGAAGAGCAGAAACGCUCAGAGCUAAAAGGGGCGGCAGAAAAGAGGCCCAAGCAACUGUUUACCAAAAACACAGGUGCCUGCGAAAGCGAAAGCUGAAGUAUAGGUGCUGACGCCUGCCCGGUGCCGGAAGGUUAAGGAGAGAAGUUAGCGAAAGCGAAGCAUCGAACUGAAGCCCCGGUGAACGGCGGCCGUAACUAUAACGGUCCUAAGGUAGCGAAAUUCCUUGUCGGGUAAGUUCCGACCCGCAUGAAAGGCGUAAUGAUUUGGGCACUGUCUCAACGAGGGGCCCGGUGAAAUUGAAAUACCUGUGAAGAUGCAGGUUACCCGCGACUGGACAGAAAGACCCCAUGGAGCUUCACUGCAGCUUGAGAUUGAAUCCCGGUGACAGAUGCACAGGAUAGGUGGGAGGCGUCGAAGCAUUGCCCUAGGGCGGUGCGGAGCCGAUGUUGGGAUACCACCCUUCUGUUGCUGAGAUUCUAACGCGAGGAGUAACGACCCUGCGGACCCUCUCAGGCAGGCGGUUUGACUGGGGCGGUCGCCUCCGAAAGAGUAA